GGGUGGGUGUCCGAGUGGCUGAAGGAGCUGGAUUCGAAAUCCAGUAGCCCCCUCGGGGGCUCGAGAGUUCGAAUCUCUCCCCACCCGCCA
Molecule: transfer RNA, 90 nt
Filed under: Pseudomonas nitroreducens
Lineage: Bacteria; Pseudomonadati; Pseudomonadota; Gammaproteobacteria; Pseudomonadales; Pseudomonadaceae
Description: tRNA-Ser
Rfam family: tRNA
About the family: Transfer RNA (tRNA) molecules are approximately 80 nucleotides in length. Their secondary structure includes four short double-helical elements and three loops (D, anti-codon, and T loops).
Source: RNAcentral